AAACUAUUAUUUUAUGUUUUGAAAACAUAAAAAAGAUUUUUUAUCUGUAGUUUU
This 54-nucleotide transfer RNA is filed under the name Panagrellus redivivus. RNAcentral describes it as "tRNA-Ser". Lineage: Eukaryota; Metazoa; Nematoda; Chromadorea; Rhabditida; Panagrolaimidae. The record is from RNAcentral.